Molecule: ribosomal RNA, 466 nt
Filed under: uncultured bacterium
Lineage: Bacteria
Description: partial 16S ribosomal RNA
Rfam family: Bacterial small subunit ribosomal RNA
Source: RNAcentral
GACGAACGCUGGCGGCGUGCUUAACACAUGCAAGUCGAACGGAAAGGCCCUGCUUUUGUGGGGUGCUCGAGUGGCGAACGGGUGAGUAACACGUGAGUAACCUGCCCUUGACUUUGGGAUAACUUCAGGAAACUGGGGCUAAUACCGGAUAGGAGCUCCUGCUGCAUGGUGGGGGUUGGAAAGUUUCGGCGGUUGGGGAUGGACUCGCGGCUUAUCAGCUUGUUGGUGGGGUAGUGGCUUACCAAGGCUUUGACGGGUAGCCGGCCUGAGAGGGUGACCGGCCACAUUGGGACUGAGAUACGGCCCAGACUCCUACGGGAGGCAGCAGUGGGGAAUAUUGCACAAUGGGCGGAAGCCUGAUGCAGCAACGCCGCGUGCGGGAUGACGGCCUUCGGGUUGUAAACCGCUUUCGCCUGUGACGAAGCGUGAGUGACGGUAAUGGAUAAAGAAGCACCGGCUAACUACG